Molecule: signal recognition particle RNA, 245 nt
Filed under: Saimiri boliviensis boliviensis (Bolivian squirrel monkey)
Lineage: Eukaryota; Metazoa; Chordata; Mammalia; Primates; Cebidae
Description: Metazoan signal recognition particle RNA (ENSSBOG00000006467.1)
Rfam family: Metazoan signal recognition particle RNA
About the family: The signal recognition particle (SRP) is a universally conserved ribonucleoprotein.
Source: RNAcentral
GCCAGGCACGGUGGCACGUGCCUGUAGUCGCAACUACUCGGGAGGCUGAGGUGGAAGGAUCGCUUGAGCCCUAGAGUUCUGGGCUGUAGUGCACUAGCCAACUGGGUGUCCGCACUAAGUUUGGCAUCAAUAUGGUGAUGGGUGAACUGCCCCAGGUCAGAAAUGGAACAGAUUAAAACUCUGGUGCUGUGCCUGUGAAUAGCCACUGCACUCCAGGCUGCGCAACAUAGCAAGGCUCCAUCUCU